GCAGUCGUGGCCGAGUGGUGAAGGCGAUGUACUAGAAAUCCAUUGGGGUCUCCACCUCACAGGUUCGAAUCCUGUCGACUGCG
This is a non-coding RNA of Ixodes scapularis (black-legged tick), 83 nucleotides long. The record is from Rfam. NCBI's taxonomy places the organism in Eukaryota, Metazoa, Arthropoda, Arachnida, Ixodida, Ixodidae.